RNAcentral lists this long non-coding RNA (666 nucleotides) under Rattus norvegicus (Norway rat). Its description in RNAcentral is "long non-coding RNA NONRATT022577". The record is from RNAcentral. Lineage: Eukaryota; Metazoa; Chordata; Mammalia; Rodentia; Muridae.
CGAGGGUGCUCAGAGAAGGGACCCAAGGACUGGAACCUCAGGACAGUUGGGAUCUCUGGUCCACAGCUCUCUUGUCUUACCUCCUGCCUGCUCCACUCAGCCAAUGAACAUGAAGGGCAUGGGACUGACUCGAGCUCUCCGUCCAGAUGCAGGAGGGAGGCCAAGCUGGGCAGGAUAGAGUUGGAUGAUGAGUGGGAAGUGUUAGCUCCUCUCUAGUCUCAGCCACUAUAUUGGCCCAACCUCAGGAAUCUCACUUCCCCAGCAGCCUCAGCAAACCUGGUGUUUCUGAGCAGCGAUGACGCUCGGUUAGGCUAUGUUACCUCUCUGUCCAUCUCUCUUCCUGUUAGUCCCCUCUCCUGUCCACUCAUCUAACAGUGUCCCCGUCCAUGUCCCUCUGCACAGGUUUUCUUGUCCCCCACUCCCUCUCCCUGCCCAUUCUUCUUUUACCCUCUGGUCUGGCCUCCCGUACACAGCCACAUGUGGGCGUCCAUUUCUCAGUUCCUGCAGCCGUCCAUCCCAUCUGUUGACAGGCCAACCACACCCAUUCCUCCUCUCUGUGGUUCUUGUCUCCUCCAUCUGCCGGCCGUCGGCUUCUCCUCCAGUGUCCCAUCCAUCCGUCAUCAUGCCCCUACUCUUUCUCUCCACCUUCCUCCGUUCAGUUAUACA